AUUGAACGCUGGCGGCAUGCCUUACACAUGCAAGUCGAACGGCAGCACGGGAGCAAUCCUGGUGGCGAGUGGCGAACGGGUGAGUAAUAUAUCGGAACGUGCCCAGUAGUGGGGAUAGCCCGGCGAAAGCCGGAUUAAUACCGCAUACGACCUGAGGGUGAAAGCGGGGGAUCGCAAGACCUCGCGCUAUUGGAGCGGCCGAUAUCAGAUUAGCUAGUUGGUGGGGUAAAGGCCUACCAAGGCUACGAUCUGUAGUUGGUCUGAGAGGACGACCAGCCACACUGGGACUGAGACACGGCCCAGACUCCUACGGGAGGCAGCAGUGGGGAAUUUUGGACAAUGGGCGCAAGCCUGAUCCAGCAAUGCCGCGUGCAGGAAGAAGGCCUUCGGGUUGUAAACUGCUUUUGUCAGGGAAGAAAUCUUCUGGGCUAAUACCCCGGGAGGAUGACGGUACCUGAAGAAUAAGCACCGGCUAACUACGUG
RNAcentral lists this ribosomal RNA (483 nucleotides) under uncultured bacterium. RNAcentral's name for it is "bacterial SSU rRNA". It matches the Rfam family "Bacterial small subunit ribosomal RNA", at positions 30 to 507 of the family's 1533-position model. The record is from RNAcentral.